Molecule: ribosomal RNA, 1343 nt
Filed under: Cassava witches'-broom phytoplasma
Lineage: Bacteria; Bacillati; Mycoplasmatota; Mollicutes; Acholeplasmatales; Acholeplasmataceae
Description: bacterial SSU rRNA
Rfam family: Bacterial small subunit ribosomal RNA
Source: RNAcentral
GAGUACACGUAAGCACCUACCCUAAAGACGAGGAUAACCAUUGGAAACAGUGGCUAAGACUGGAUAGGAAGAUAAAAGGCAUCUUGUAUCUUUUAAAAGACCUAGUUAAUAGGUAUGCUUUAGGAGGGGCUUGCGCCAUAUUAGUUAGUUGGUAGGGUAAUGGCCUACCAAGACGAUGAUGUGUAGCUGGACUGAGAGGUUGAACAGCCACAUUGGGACUGAGACACGGCCCAAACUCCUACGGGAGGCAGCAGUAGGGAAUUUUCGGCAAUGGAGGAAACUCUGACCGAGCAACGCCGCGUGAAUGACGAAGUACUUCGGUAUGUAAAGUUCUUUUAUCGAGGAAGAAAAGCAAAUGGCGAACCAUUUGUUUGCCGGUACUUGAUGAAUAAGCCCCGGCUAAUUAUGUGCCAGCAGCCGCGGUAAGACAUAAGGGGCAAGUGUUAUCCGGAAUUAUUGGGCGUAAAGGGUGCGUAGGCGAUCUAGUAAGUCAGUGGUGUAAUGUCAACGCUUAACGUUGUCCGGCUAUUGAAACUGCUAAACUUGAGUUAGAUAGAGGCGAGUGGAAUUCCAUGUGUAGCGGUAAAAUGCGUAAAUAUAUGGAGGAACACCAGAGGCGUAGGCGGCUCGCUGGGUCUUAACUGACGCUGAGGCACGAAAGCGUGGGGAGCAAACAGGAUUAGAUACCCUGGUAGUCCACGCCGUAAACGAUGAGUACUAAGUGUCGGGUUAAACCGGUACUGAAGUUAACACAUUAAGUACUCCGCCUGAGUAGUACGUACGCAAGUAUGAAACUUAAAGGAAUUGACGGGACUCCGCACAAGCGGUGGAUCAUGUUGUUUAAUUCGAAGAUACCCGAAAAACCUUACCAGGUCUUGACAUGUUUUUGCAAAAUGAUAGUAAUAUCGUGGAGGUUACCAGAAACACAGGUGGUGCAUGGUUGUCGUCAGCUCGUGUCGUGAGAUGUUAGGUUAAGUCCUAAAACGAGCGAAACCCUUAUCGUUAGUUGCCAGCACGUUAUGGUGGGGACUUUAACGAGACUGCCAAUGAUAAAUUGGAGGAAGGUGAGGAUCACGUCAAAUCAGCAUGCCCCUUAUGACCUGGGCUACAAACGUGAUACAAUGGCUGUUACAAAGGGUAGCUGAAACGCAAGUUCUUGGCCAAUCCCCAAAAACAGUCCCAGUCCGGAUUGAAGUCUGCAACUCGACUUCAUGAAGUUGGAAUCGCUAGUAAUCGCGAAUCAGCAUGUCGCGGUGAAUACGUUCUCGGGGUUUGUACACACCGCCCGUCAAACCACGAAAGUUGGCAAUACCCCAAAACGGUAGCCUAACUCGUUUAUCGAG